GAAAUGCGAGAAGUAAUGUGAAUUGCAGAAUUAAGUGAAUCAUCGAAUCUUUGAAUGCACCUUGCACUCCUUGGUAUUCCUUGGAGCAUGCCUGUUUGAGUAUCAUGAAAUCUUCAAAGUAAAUCUUUUGUUAACUCAAUUGGUUUCUACUUUGGUAUUGGAGGUCUUUGCAGCUUCACACCUGCUCCUCUUUGUUCAUUAGCUGGAUCUCAGUGUUAUGCUUGGUUCCACUCGGCGUGAUAAGUUAUCUAUCGCUGAGGACACUGUAAAAGGUGGCCAAGGUAAAUGCAGAUGAACCGCUUCUAAUAGUCCAUUGACUUGGACAAUACUUUUAUGAUCUGAUCUCAAAUCAGGUAGGACUACCCGCUUAACUUAAGC
RNAcentral lists this unclassified non-coding RNA (378 nucleotides) under plant metagenome. Its description in RNAcentral is "partial contains 5.8S ribosomal RNA, internal transcribed spacer 2, and large subunit ribosomal RNA". The stretch from base 1 to 105 matches the Rfam family "5.8S ribosomal RNA", at positions 50 to 154 of the family's 154-position model. The record is from RNAcentral.